AUGGGGCGUGGCCGGGUCGAGCUCAAGCGGAUCGAGAACAAGAUCAACCGACAGGUCACCUUCGCCAAGCGCCGCAACGGCCUGCUCAAGAAGGCCUACGAGCUCUCCGUCCUCUGCGAUGCCGAGGUCGCGCUCAUCAUCUUCUCCAACCGCGGCAAGCUCUACGAGUUCUGCAGCGGCCAGAGCAUGCCCAAAACACUUGAGAGAUACCAGAAAUGCAGUUAUGGUGGGCCAGAUACAGCAGUACAAAAUAAGGAGAAUGAGUUAGUGCAGAGCAGUCGAAAUGAGUACCUCAAACUGAAAGCACGAGUGGAGAAUUUGCAGAGAACCCAACGAAAUUUGCUUGGUGAAGAUCUCGGGUCACUCGGCAUCAAAGAUCUGGAGCAGCUCGAAAAGCAACUUGAUUCAUCCUUAAGGCACAUAAGAUCCACAAGGACACAGCAUAUGCUUGACCAGCUCACUGAUCUCCAAAGGAAGGAACAAAUGCUGUGUGAAGCAAAUAGGUGCCUUCGAAGAAAACUGGAGGAGAGCAGCCAGCAGAUGCAGGGCCAAAUGUGGGAGCAGCACGCCGCCAACUUGCUCGGCUACGACCAACUGCGACAGUCCCCGCAUCAGCAGCAGGCCACACACCACGGCGGCAACGGCUUCUUUCACCCCCUGGACCCUACCACUGAGCCCACACUUCAGAUAGGGUAUACUCAGGAGCAGAUAAACAACGCAUGCGUGGCGGCGUCGUUCAUGCCGACAUGGCUGCCCUGA
RNAcentral lists this ribosomal RNA (759 nucleotides) under Triticum aestivum (bread wheat). RNAcentral's name for it is "partial small subunit ribosomal RNA". The record is from RNAcentral. Lineage: Eukaryota; Viridiplantae; Streptophyta; Magnoliopsida; Poales; Poaceae.